UAAGGUGGUUCUGGGUUUGUGCUCU
RNAcentral lists this non-coding RNA (25 nucleotides) under Rattus norvegicus (Norway rat). Lineage: Eukaryota; Metazoa; Chordata; Mammalia; Rodentia; Muridae. The record is from RNAcentral.